Solanum lycopersicum (tomato) is the source of this 1106-nucleotide long non-coding RNA. RefSeq lists it as uncharacterized. The record is from RefSeq and is a predicted model, not a curated record. Lineage: Eukaryota; Viridiplantae; Streptophyta; Magnoliopsida; Solanales; Solanaceae.
CCAUUUUUUUGGACAAAAAAAUAAUUGUUAAAAUAUUAGGAAAAACAAAUUGGGGCUUAGAGAGGAAGCUGAGCUGAAAAAUCCACACGAUUUCUACGCUCAAGAACAUACGCCUCAAAAUGUAGAAAUCCACACGAUUUCUUUUCUCAAGAACUUCAAAUUGACUGAAUAAGCCGAAAUCCGAAGAGAGGAAGCUGAAAAUUGGAGGAGAUGAAGAGAGGAAGCGAAGACUGAAUCAGAGUUGAAAAUUGGAGGAGCUGAACUGAUUCUACUCUCCAAAAUCGGAGGAGCUGAAAAUCAGAGGAGCUGAGCAGAGCAGAUGUUGACCAACUGAUUCUAUGCUCCAAGCUUUGUUAGUAUUCUUUGUUAACAAGCUGUUCCGUCGGAUUUCACAAAUGAACAAAAUGUUUCACACAUGAACACGCCUCACGUCUUGGGUUGUUGCAACAGUGUUUGUAAGGUGAGAUACCAAAGGAGUUCGGUAAUCUUCAGAAACUUCACGAGUUAGAUUUCGCACAGAAUGAGCUAACUGGCUCUGUUCCUCACAACAUUUUCAACUUGUCAUCACUGUAGAAUAUAGCUUUUGGAGAAAAUAAUCUUUCAGGUACUCUACCUUCAGAUUUAGGUCGUGGAAUGCCCAACCUAGAAAUAUUUUAUUGUGGAGGAAAUAAUCUGAGUAGUUUUAUCUCUACUUCAAUCUCAAAUUCAUCAAAACUCAGACAACUUGACCUCUCAUGAAACAGUUUCACAGGUAUAAUUCCUUAAUCACUUGGUAACUUAGAAUACCUUGAGUUACUUCACUUGCUGUCGAAUAAUGUUGUCAGCGAUUCAACUUUGAGCUUCCUUGCAUCAUUGAAAAACUGUAUGAAUCUAAGAGCACUAAUGUUAGUAGGUAAUCCGUUGGAUGGUGUAUUGCCUGCAUCUAUUGGUAAUUUCUCAAACUCCUUGCAAAUGUUUGAAGCAUCUAAAUGUAAGCUGAAGGGUGUCAUUCCUCGAGAAAUUGGUAAUCUUACUGGAUUGACAAGGAUUGGUAUGUUUAACAAUGAGUUAACUAGACAUAUUCCAAAUACUGUACAUGGCAUGUCGAUCCUUCAAAAACAUUACUU